RNAcentral lists this ribosomal RNA (468 nucleotides) under uncultured bacterium. RNAcentral's name for it is "partial 16S ribosomal RNA". It matches the Rfam family "Bacterial small subunit ribosomal RNA", at positions 28 to 507 of the family's 1533-position model. The record is from RNAcentral.
GACGAACGCUGGCGGCGUGCUUAACACAUGCAAGUCGAACGGAAAGGCCCUGCGUUUGUGGGGUGCUCGAGUGGCGAACGGGUGAGUAACACGUGAGUAAACUGCCCCUGACUUUGGGAUAACUUCAGGAAACUGGGGCUAAUACCGGAUAGGAGCUACUGAUGCGUGGGGGUGGUUGGAAAGUUUCGGCGGUUGGGGCUGGACUCGCGGCUUAUCAGCUUGUUGGUGGGGUAGUUGCGUACCAAGGCUAUGACGGCUAGCCGGCCUGAGAGGGUGACCGGCGACAUGGGGCCUGAGAUACGGACCAGACUCCUACGGGCGGCAGCAGUGGGGAAUAUUGCACAAUGGGCGGAAGCCUGAUGCAGCAACGCCGCGUGCGGGAUGACGGCCUUCGGGUUGUAAACCGCUUUCGCCUUUGCCGAAGCGUGAGUGACGGUAACGGGUAAAGAAGCACCGGCUAACUACGUG